CAGUAGCCGCGGGAAUACGUAGGGUGCGAGCGUUAAUCGGAAUUACUGGGCGUAAAGCGUGCGCAGGCGGUUUUGUAAGACAGGCGUGAAAUCCCCGGGCUCAACCUGGGAAUGGCGCUUGUGACUGCAAAGCUAGAGUGCGGCAGAGGGGGAUGGAAUUCCGCGUGUAGCAGUGAAAUGCGUAGAUAUGCGGAGGAACACCGAUGGCGAAGGCAAUCCCCUGGGCCUGCACUGACGCUCAUGCACGAAAGCGUGGGGAGCAAACAGGAUUAGAUACCCGUGUAGUCCCUGUCUCUUAUAC
This 301-nucleotide ribosomal RNA is filed under the name uncultured bacterium. RNAcentral's name for it is "partial 16S ribosomal RNA". It matches the Rfam family "Bacterial small subunit ribosomal RNA", at positions 509 to 807 of the family's 1533-position model. The record is from RNAcentral.